AAUCCACCACAGCCACUGGAAAAAUGCCCCUGGCUUUCACAGGGCUAGGGUUUCAUCCUAACAAGUUGAAAAGCUACAGGCCAAACAUACCCACGGGAUCCAAAACAUACAUCUCCAGCAAUCUGUGCUGAUUUUAAUGUAUUUGCGUAUAAUCUUCUUGAUGAGAGUUUUCCCACUGAACUCCUGCUCUGACACGACAAGGAAUGUUUAAGGCAGCAACAUGGAAAACAUAGAAGAGAGAGAUGAACACCUAAACAAAGAUUAGAAAAGGCAAAACUCUUUAGCUUUUUCUCCACUCUGCUUCCCCUCCUUCUGGCCCUAUCACCAAUGACUUUUGCCUUCAGAGUUACUCCGUGGUAGCCCCAAAGGAAAUGCUGGUGGUAAGAUUGUGGUGGUAACCUGGUCUUCGCACUUGUGCUUGUUUGUUUGUUUUGCAAUAUAAAUCAGGUCUGCACGGGACUUGCAUGCAUAUCUCCAGCUAAGGGCCCCAGAGCUACUUUUUCUCUGCGACAGGGUGGACCUCCAUAUCUCCAGAAAGGGAGAUCUCAUUUGAGAGAGCUUCUUUCUGCCAGACACUAACAGAGCACAGAAUGGUGUAUUGUCUGUUGAGGACAGAAUGCAGGAGGAUAAUUACAGUACUGUCAUUUUUGACAGCACAGGAUACACCCCAGUCCAAGAGGAACUAGACACAGACCACCAGCAAUACAGACCAUUCGUUAUAUCUUUUUUUUUUUCCAGUAGCUAUUAAUUUGGGAUGCAUUUCAACUAGUGGCCUUGACUGGAAAAGUACCAGAUCCCAUGCUGUGUAUCUCGAGGGUACCCUGUCUCAUUAAUAAGCACCUUCAUUCCAGAGUAUUGUCUGUUUAUUUUGGAAGGUUUUCCUCCCCUCCCUGAAAAAACAGAGAUGAAUUGGGAUAAAUACAGGCAGGAAAUGGUUUCCCUAGCAACACUAAGAAUACAUAAGAACAACCUCAUCAUUCACUUUUCUUCCUUAGAUACACUUUUAAAAGAAGUUUGAGCUACCCUAAAAGACAUCUCCUGUUUGCAGUACAACACCCAAGUCAACAGAAUUAAUCAGCCCUGAUUUCACUUUCAGUGAGAAGGGAACUAAGUCCCUUUAAAAAAAACAGGGACAUAAGGUCUUAGAUUCCAGGGAAAGAAAGCUGAGUCAAAAGAGGAGUUCAUUCAGAUUCAACCCUGCUCAAAAGAAAGCUGCUUUAUGUAACAUUCAGCUUUGCUGAAAUGUAACUUACAUUAACGAUCUUCCAGCAUGCCCUGUUCAGAGAGCCUUAGGUUUUGGUAAAGUCUGGGUUGAGCUGUCCAUAGGCAAAAUCUAACCUAGUUGUGUAACAGUGCCAGAAAGGAAAUCAGAAAACUUGUUUCUGAGAAUUUAUUGGGGGAGACAUCAAAGCGUGGUGCUGCGUAAUUCCUACUCCUGUCACGUUGCACUAACACAGCCCCCUCGCUCCUGAUCCACUUGCCGUUCCUGCCAGCUU
This 1496-nucleotide long non-coding RNA is filed under the name Phasianus colchicus (ring-necked pheasant). Its description in RNAcentral is "lncRNA (ENSPCLG00000015837.1)". Lineage: Eukaryota; Metazoa; Chordata; Aves; Galliformes; Phasianidae. The record is from RNAcentral.